UACGGAGGAUCCGAGCGUUAUCCGGGUUUAUUGGGUUUAAAGGGAGCGUAGGCGGGUUGUUAAGUCAGUUGUGAAAGUUUGCGGCUCAACCGUAAAAUUGCAGUUGAUACUGGCAUCCUUGAGUACAGUAGAGGUAGGCGGAAUUCGUGGUGUAGCGGUGAAAUGCUUAGAUAUCACGAAGAACUCCGAUUGCGAAGGCAGCCUGCUGGACUGUAACUGACGCUGAUGCUCGAAAGUGUGGGUAUCAAACAGG
Molecule: ribosomal RNA, 253 nt
Filed under: uncultured bacterium
Lineage: Bacteria
Description: partial 16S ribosomal RNA
Rfam family: Bacterial small subunit ribosomal RNA
Source: RNAcentral